RNAcentral lists this ribosomal RNA (742 nucleotides) under uncultured bacterium. RNAcentral describes it as "bacterial SSU rRNA". It matches the Rfam family "Bacterial small subunit ribosomal RNA", at positions 576 to 1333 of the family's 1533-position model. The record is from RNAcentral.
UGGUUAUUUAAGUGAGGUGUGAAAGCCCCGGGCCCAACCUGGGAACUGCAUCUUAUACUGGGUAACUGGAGUACAUGAGAGGGUAGUGGAAUUUCCGGUGUAGCGGUGAAAUCCGUUGAUAUCGUGGGGAACACCAAAGGCGAAGGCAGCGCACUGGCCCUCAUCUGACGCUCACACACGAAAGCCAGGGUAGCGAACGGGAUUAGAUACCCCGGUAGUCCUGGCCCUAAACGCUGCUCGCUCGUUCUGCGGAGUAUCGACCCUCUGCGGGACUAAGCUAACGCGGUAAGCGAGCCGCCUGGGUAGUACGAGCGCAAGCUUAAAACUCAAAGGAAUAGACGGGGACUCGCACAAGCGGUGGAUCAUGUGGCUUAAUUCGUCGAUAAGCGAAGAACCUUACCCAGGCUAGAAAUCCAACUGCAUCCCACCCGAAAGGGAGGGAGCCUUCGAGGGUGUUGGACAGGUGAUGCAUGGUUGUCGUCAGUUCGUGGCUUGAGCUGUUCCCUUCAGUGGGGUAACGAACGCAACCCACGUUGUCUGUUAUAUAUGUCAGGCGAGACUGCCCCCUCACGGGGGAGGAAGGUGUGGAUGACGCCAAAUCAGCAUGUCCCUUGAUGCCUGGGGCUGCACACGUGAUACAAUGGCCGGUACAGAAGGACGCAAUACCGCAAGGUGGAGCAAAUCCCAAAAACCGGCCCCAGUACGGAUUGAGGUCUGCAACCGACCUCAUGAAGCCGGAAUC